CUACGGGCGGCUGCAGUGGGGAAUAUUGGACAAUGGGGGAAACCCUGAUCCAGCAAUGCCGCGUGUGUGAAGAAGGCCUGCGGGUUGUAAAGCACUUUCGGUUGGGAGGACUGCUUCUAGCACUAAUAUUGUUGGAAGUUGACGUUACCUUCAGAAGAAGCACCGGCUAACUCCGUGCCAGCAGCCGCGGUGAAUACGGAGGGUGCAAGCGUUAAUCGGAAUUACUGGGCGUAAAGCGCGAGUAGGCGGCUAGAUCAGUCGGGUGUGAAAGCCCCGGGCUUAACCUGGGAACUGCAUCCGAUACUGUCUAGCUUGAGUACAGGAGAGGAGAGUGGAAUUCCACAUGUAGCGGUGAAAUGCGUAGAUAUGUGGAGGAACACCAAUGGCGAAGGCAGCUCUCUGGCCUGAUACUGACGCUGAGGUGCGAAAGCGUGGGGAGCAAACAGGAUUAGAUACCCUCGUAGUC
RNAcentral lists this ribosomal RNA (466 nucleotides) under uncultured bacterium. RNAcentral's name for it is "partial 16S ribosomal RNA". It matches the Rfam family "Bacterial small subunit ribosomal RNA", at positions 339 to 795 of the family's 1533-position model. The record is from RNAcentral.